RNAcentral lists this ribosomal RNA (545 nucleotides) under uncultured bacterium. RNAcentral's name for it is "bacterial SSU rRNA". It matches the Rfam family "Bacterial small subunit ribosomal RNA", at positions 98 to 678 of the family's 1533-position model. The record is from RNAcentral.
GCAGACGGGUGAGUAACGCGUGGGAACCUUCCCUAUAGUACGGAAUAUACCAGGGAAACUUGGAGCAAUACCGUAUACGCCCGAAAGGGGAAAGAUUUAUCGCUAUAGGAUGGGCCCGCGUAGGAUUAGCUAGUUGGUGAGGUAAUGGCUCACCAAGGCGACGAUCCUUAGCUGGUCUGAGAGGAUGAUCAGCCACACUGGGACUGAGACACGGCCCAGACUCCUACGGGAGGCAGCAGUGGGGAAUAUUGGGCAAUGGGCGCAAGCCUGACCCAGCCAUGCCGCGUGAGUGACGAAGGCCUUAGGGUUGUAAAGCUCUUUUGGCGGGGACGAUAAUGACGGUACCCGCAGAAUAAGCCCCGGCUAACUUCGUGCCAGCAGCCGCGGUAAUACGAAGGGGGCUAGCGUUGUUCGGAAUCACUGGGCGUAAAGCGCACGUAGGCGGACUUUCAAGUCAGGGGUGAAAUCCCGGGGCUCAACCUCGGAACUGCCUUUGAUACUGUUGGUCUCGAGUCCGAUAGAGGUGGGUGGAAUUCCUAGUGUAG